AAAAACAUUUCCUCUUGGUAUAAGAGGUAAGGCCUGCUCACUGACUAGGUUGAAGAGCCGCAGUACAUUGACUGUGCUAAGGUAGCAUAAUCAUUAGUCCUUUAAUUGGGGACUGGUAUGAAUGGCUAAACGAGAAAUUAGCUUUCUUUGUUAUGGUUUGUUGAAUUUAACUUGUAAGUGAAAAGGCUUACAUGAUUCAGAAAGACGAGAAGACCCUAUAGAGUUUUACAAAGGCCUAAAAUACAGCUUAUUAGUUUUAAAGGGUUAUAUUUUGGAAAUUUGUUUGGUUGGGGCGACAUAAAGAUAAAAAAAACUCUUUGUAGUAUAAACUUUGGUGGAAGAAAAGGUUUGAUCCUCUAAAAGGGAUUAUAAGAAAAAAUUACCUUAGGGAUAACAGCGUAAUCUUCUUUUAGAGUUCAAAUCGACAAGAAGGUUUGCGACCUCGAUGUUGGACUAAAAUUUGGGCAAGGUGCAGCAGCUUUGUUUUUGGGUCUGUUCGACCCGUAAUAUUUUACAUGAUCUGAGUU
RNAcentral lists this ribosomal RNA (527 nucleotides) under Capitulum mitella. Its description in RNAcentral is "partial large subunit ribosomal RNA". It matches the Rfam family "Bacterial large subunit ribosomal RNA", at positions 1809 to 2611 of the family's 2925-position model. Lineage: Eukaryota; Metazoa; Arthropoda; Thecostraca; Pollicipedomorpha; Pollicipedidae. The record is from RNAcentral.